AAGUGUUACAAUAUAGGAAGCAAUCAGGGAUAGGGGGAGAUUUAGGAUCAGUGGAGAGAGAGAGCCAGGAGAGGGCAGGGGAAAGUCACAGGGUGUCUCCCUUGUUGCCCCCCAUGGCCUGAAGCCCCGGGGCACCAUGUGGGUGAGCUGGGUGUUGCUGUGGAUUCUCCACGCUGGAUGUGAGGGGAUGAGAGCCCAAAGGAGGAUCCCCAUGGACACG
This is a non-coding RNA of Pelobates cultripes (western spadefoot toad), 220 nucleotides long. The record is from the annotation of a GenBank genome assembly. NCBI's taxonomy places the organism in Eukaryota, Metazoa, Chordata, Amphibia, Anura, Pelobatidae.